GGAGCUCUUCCAUUUUCCCAUAUAAACGACCAUCGACGCGAACGGCAGCGCCUCUGCUUAGUUAAGGUGGCAACCCAGCAUCACGGUGGUAGUGAAAUUUUCACCACUCUGAGAUGGUAUGUGUGCGCUCUUUCGCAGGUGCGUAGCUGUCAACUAACCAAAACAAACCAUCUCUCCGCACCAAAUUUUCUCAUCCGGCAGCUCCCACUUUUAAUUUAUGUUUUAAAGCAAAUUAACAGUAUAAAAAUACAUACCGCCAACUCAAAUUGUUUUACUGAACCGCGCAUAGUCCCGUGGCAAAUCGAAUCAACACCCGUCAGCUGAAUGCAAAGGUUGUCAGGCAAUGCAAAUGUUUCCGUCGUAAUCUGUGCCCGCAGUAUAUGGCCUUACCGAUCGGUGCUCGAGCAGGAAAUAGUGCAUCAAAUCCGAAGUGUCUCAUGAUUCUGGAAUACUAUUUGUGCAAUGACUUCAUAGCGGAGUGAGCAAACGAUUCUGAUACGAGCCAAGUAUAUGCCAGGACGAAACAGAAAAUGAUUCUAUACCGCUCUAGUUUCGAUCAUUAUGGAAACGAUGACUUUCCCCGGGCUUCGCUCUUCAAAAUUACCUAAAGUUAUUGGGUCAUGAUAUCCAAGUCGAUGUAGACGAUACUCAGGCAUGGUGGCAUGAUGCAGAGCCUGGAAUACCUGUUUCAGCGAGCUAUCUUACGCGCUGUGUUAAUACGCUACAUCUUGUUGACACUUUUCGGCCGGAAAAGAGCCUGCUACUCAACUUGCUAUUAUAUGCACUACCACAGAGUUUUUUUUGUUUUUUCAUUGAGCGCACAUCGCGUAGAGGCCAAUCCGUGAUUGGAUGAAGUCCGAUUCUCUGUGCAAAUUGGACAAAGAACCUAUGAAUGGGUUUUGGCGCCAACCCUGAUUGUGGACAGAUCGAGAGCUUCUAGCUUUGAUAAUGUCGAAAGCGAUGCUAGCUUCGUCUUAACGGUCAUCAGUGUAGUACAGAUUUAUUAUAAAAGGACGAUGCAAAAAUUGAAAUAAAAAACUUUUGUGGGAUAUGA
Aedes albopictus (Asian tiger mosquito) is the source of this 1054-nucleotide long non-coding RNA. RefSeq lists it as uncharacterized. The record is from RefSeq and is a predicted model, not a curated record. The transcript is spliced from 3 exons. Lineage: Eukaryota; Metazoa; Arthropoda; Insecta; Diptera; Culicidae.